Molecule: ribosomal RNA, 261 nt
Filed under: uncultured prokaryote
Description: partial 16S ribosomal RNA
Rfam family: Bacterial small subunit ribosomal RNA
Source: RNAcentral
UACGUAGGUGGCGAGCGUUGUCCGGAUUUACUGGGCGUAAAGGGAGCGUAGGCGGACUUUUAAGUGAGAUGUGAAAUACCCGGGCUCAACUUGGGUGCUGCAUUUCAAACUGGAAGUCUAGAGUGCAGGAGAGGAGAAUGGAAUUCCUAGUGUAGCGGUGAAAUGCGUAGAGAUUGGGAAGAGCACCAGUGGCGAAGGCGAUUCUCUGGACUGUAACUGACGCUGAGGCUCGAAAGCGUGGGGAGCAAACAGGAUUAGAUA